GGCCUUCCAAUGCUUACUACAGGCUGUGUUCUUUACACUAACUGUAUAAGAAAGAGGAGGUACAGUAAAUGCUCCUCAUAUAUACCUCAAACCAGGCCUUUUGCCUGGUGUGUAUUGUGAAUGGGAGGACAAAA
Small nucleolar RNA from Suncus etruscus (white-toothed pygmy shrew), 134 nucleotides. RefSeq annotates it as small nucleolar RNA SNORA51. The record is from RefSeq and is a predicted model, not a curated record. The transcript has a single exon. Lineage: Eukaryota; Metazoa; Chordata; Mammalia; Eulipotyphla; Soricidae.